UGGAUUCUGCUCCUGGCUCUGCCACCAACUCGAUUCUUGCAAGGAUCCCUGGUUCCCCCACCACUCUGUCGGAUGGGAACUCGGGCUCUGGCCCCACUUAUGCCACCUUCUGGUGCAGUCCUGGGGAGCCGCCAGGGUCAGGGUGUCUGGGCGCCCUGUGGCCAGACUGUGGUGUCUUCCUGACAAUUGCAGGGCUUCAGAGUGUGUGUGGGUGGAUCCUGAGCCCUGAGGCCUGCCGUCUCACCCCCGGGGCUGCCCCGAUCCUUUGAGUCACUCUCUCAGCGUCCUGUCACCUUUGUCCUAGGGUUUUAUUCUUCUUGUCACCUCUCACUCCCAUCUCCUAGAAAAUGGGCUUCCCACCGAAUGAUUUUAGCCCCCUGCCAGGGCUAAGCAAGCUCUUUGGGCAGGUCCGUGGGCUAAGUAAUUAUCUUCAUCCUUCUUGAUUUUUUUUUCUCUUUCUUUUCUUUACGUUUUGAAACAGAUUCACUCUGGGGGGAGAACAGAAUUUGGAAUAGCGCUUCUGAGUACAAGUCCCCGGGGUCGGCCGCCUACUCUCUGGGCAUCAUCUUCCCCGUCUGUGAAACGGGUUAGUGAUAAGGCCUGCCCUGCCUCCCUCAUGAGAAGGUUGUGAAGAGUAAAUGAGGGAUGGGUGUGAAAUGUAAGCUCUGUGCAAACUUUAUUUGUUUAUUUUUUUUAAAUUUUUUUUUAAUGUUUAUUUAUUUUUGAAGGAGAGAGAGACAGAGUGUGAGUGGGGGAGGGGCAGAGAGAGAGGGAGACACAGAAUCGGAAGCAGGCUCCGGGCUCUGAGCUGUCAGCACAGAGCCCGAUGCGGGGCUCGAACCCACGAACUGUGAGAUCAUGACCUGAGCUGAAGUCAGACGCUCAACCAACUGAGCCACCCAGGCGCCCCUCUGUGCAAACUUUAAAAUGCUGGCCGAACCUGGUGAUGCAGUCAAAUCAUCAGGAUUUGUUUUUGAAGCCCGAAAACUACCAUCACCACCGUCCAUUCUGCGGGAAGCAACAAAAAGCUACGCCUCUUUUGUGGUCCGCCCCGUGCCGCUGUGUUCCAGACCAGCUUCUCUCUCCCUGCCCCCGUCUGUGACUGGCCUCGGGGUCCUCAAGGAAGUCCCUCCGUCUGGAAGAAAGCCCCAGAGAGAAGGGGAAGGCAGUUGGCAGGACAGAGGGUUUGGCUCUUGACGCCUCUAGUUCUUGGCUGGGAGUGGGGGUGAGGCAAGAGGAGUCCCU
RNAcentral lists this long non-coding RNA (1245 nucleotides) under Felis catus (domestic cat). Its description in RNAcentral is "lncRNA (ENSFCAG00000052397.1)". Lineage: Eukaryota; Metazoa; Chordata; Mammalia; Carnivora; Felidae. The record is from RNAcentral.